Molecule: non-coding RNA, 46 nt
Organism: Papilio xuthus (Asian swallowtail)
Lineage: Eukaryota; Metazoa; Arthropoda; Insecta; Lepidoptera; Papilionidae
Source: Rfam
AAAAAAGUUCUUUUUAGAACUAACACUAGUUUCUAUGGAUUUUAGU